CAAUAGCGUAUAUUAAAGUUGUUGCGGUUAAAAAGCUCGUAGUUGGAUUUCUGUCGGAGACGCGCGGUCCGCACUAUGUGCGUGUAUCUGUGUCGGCUCUGGCAUCCUCCUGGGGAACGGUGCUGCGCUUGAUUGCGUGGUCCGGUAUUCAGGACUUUUACUUUGAGGAAAUUAGAGUGUUUACGGCAGGCAAGCGCCUUGAAUAUAUUAGCAUGGAAUAAUAACAUAGGACUUUGGUUUCUAUUUUGUUUGGUUUCUUAGAACUAAGGUAAAUGAUUAAUAAGGGAGUAGUUGGGGGUCGAUUCGUAUUUAACUGUCAGAGGUGAAAUUCUUGGAUUGUUUAAAGACGGACUACUGCGAAAGCAUUUGUCCAA
This 374-nucleotide ribosomal RNA is filed under the name uncultured eukaryote. RNAcentral's name for it is "SSU rRNA". It matches the Rfam family "Eukaryotic small subunit ribosomal RNA", at positions 592 to 962 of the family's 1831-position model. The record is from RNAcentral.